UUCAUAGUUCUACAUUCAGGCAAUCUUUCUUAGUCAUCUGGCUGUAACUAGUUUUCCAAAGGGUAAUGGCCUCACCUCUGAGACAGCUGGUUGGUGUAACCUGUCUCAAUAUAUAUGAGAUGGGACAGGAUGCUCUGGGAGGCUUAAUGCCUUUUAGUUGUAAUUGUGCUCUAGAUUCU
Long non-coding RNA from Lepidothrix coronata (blue-crowned manakin), 179 nucleotides. RefSeq lists it as uncharacterized. The record is from RefSeq and is a predicted model, not a curated record. The transcript has 3 exons. Lineage: Eukaryota; Metazoa; Chordata; Aves; Passeriformes; Pipridae.